RNAcentral lists this ribosomal RNA (306 nucleotides) under uncultured bacterium. Its description in RNAcentral is "partial 16S ribosomal RNA". It matches the Rfam family "Bacterial small subunit ribosomal RNA", at positions 507 to 807 of the family's 1533-position model. The record is from RNAcentral.
GACAGCAGUAGCCGCGGUAAUACGUAGGGUGCGAGCGUUAAUCGGAAUUACUGGGCGUAAAGCGUGCGCAGGCGGUUAUAUAAGACAGAUGUGAAAUCCCCGGGCUCAACCUGGGACCUGCGUUUGUGACUGUAUAGCUAGAGUACGGUAGAGGGGGAUGGAAUUCCGCGUGUAGCAGUGAAGUGCGUAGAUAUGCGGAGGAACACCGAUGGCGAAGGCAAUCCCCUGGACCUGUACUGACGCUCAUGCACGAAAGCGUGGGGAGCAAACAGGAUUAGAUACCCCAGUAGUCCCUGUCUCUUAUAC